RNAcentral lists this ribosomal RNA (490 nucleotides) under Hansenula anomala. RNAcentral's name for it is "Wickerhamomyces anomalus partial large subunit ribosomal RNA". It matches the Rfam family "Eukaryotic large subunit ribosomal RNA", at positions 150 to 653 of the family's 3401-position model. The record is from RNAcentral. Lineage: Eukaryota; Fungi; Ascomycota; Saccharomycetes; Phaffomycetales; Wickerhamomycetaceae.
UUGAAGAUGGUAACCUUGGGUUUGGCUCUUGUCUAUGUUCCUUGGAACAGGACGUCAUAGAGGGUGAGAAUCCCGUCUGAUGAGAUGCCCAUUCCUAUGUAAGGUGCUAUCGAAGAGUCGAGUUGUUUGGGAAUGCAGCUCUAAGUGGGUGGUAAAUUCCAUCUAAAGCUAAAUAUUGGCGAGAGACCGAUAGCGAACAAGUACAGUGAUGGAAAGAUGAAAAGAACUUUGAAAAGAGAGUGAAAAAGUACGUGAAAUUGUUGAAAGGGAAGGGCAUUAGAUCAGACUUGGUGUUUUACGAUUAUCUUCUCUUCUUGAGUUGUGCACUCGUAUUUCACUGGGCCAGCAUCGAUUCGGAUGGCAAGAUAAUGGCAGUUGAAUGUGGCUUCACUUCGGUGGAGUGUUAUAGCUUCUGCUGAUAUUGCCUGUCUGGAUCGAGGGCUGCGUCUUUUGACUAGGAUGCUGGCGUAAUGAUCUAAUGCCGCCCGUC